This 301-nucleotide ribosomal RNA is filed under the name uncultured bacterium. Its description in RNAcentral is "partial 16S ribosomal RNA". It matches the Rfam family "Bacterial small subunit ribosomal RNA", at positions 509 to 807 of the family's 1533-position model. The record is from RNAcentral.
CAGUAGCCGCGGUAAUACGAAGGGGGCUAGCGUUGCUCGAAAUGACUGGGCGUAAAGGGCGCGUAGGCGGAUUGCGCAGUCAGAUGUGAAAUUCCUGGGCUUAACCUGGGGGCUGCAUUUGAGACGCGUAGUCUAGAGUGUGAAAGAGGGUCGUGGAAUUCCCAGUGUAGAGGUGAAAUUCGUAGAUAUUGGGAAGAACACCGGUGGCGAAGGCGGCGACCUGGUUCAUGACUGACGCUGAGGCGCGAAAGCGUGGGGAGCAAACAGGAUUAGAUACCCCCGUAGUCCCUGUCUCUUAUAC